This 390-nucleotide ribosomal RNA is filed under the name uncultured Methanosaeta sp. RNAcentral's name for it is "bacterial SSU rRNA". It matches the Rfam family "Archaeal small subunit ribosomal RNA", at positions 949 to 1338 of the family's 1478-position model. Lineage: Archaea; Methanobacteriati; Methanobacteriota; Methanomicrobia; Methanotrichales; Methanotrichaceae. The record is from RNAcentral.
GAAGGCCAGGCUGAAGACUUUGCCGGAUUAGCUGAGAGGUGGUGCAUGGCCGUCGUCAGUUCGUACUGUGAAGCAUCCUGUUAAGUCAGGCAACGAGCGAGACCCACGCCCACAGUUGCCAGCGUACUCUCUGGAGUGACGGGUACACUGUGGGGACCGCCGCUGCUAAAGCGGAGGAAGGAAUGGGCAACGGUAGGUCAGUAUGCCCCGAAUAUCCCGGGCUACACGCGAGCUACAAUGGUUGGUACAAUGGGUAUCUACCCCGAAAGGGGACGGGAAUCUCCUAAAACCAAUCUUAGUUCGGAUUGAGGGCUGCAACUCGCCCUCAUGAAGCUGGAAUCCGUAGUAAUCGCGUUUCAACAGAACGCGGUGAAUACGUCCCUGCUCCUU